UGGGGAAUAUUGGACAAUGGGCGCAAGCCUGAUCCAGCAAUGCCGCGUGUGUGAAGAAGGCCUGCGGGUUGUAAAGCACUUUCAGUGGGGAGGAAAGGUUGUAGUUUAAUACGCUACAACAUUGACGCUACCCAAAGAAGAAGCACCGGCUAACUCUGUGCCAGCAGCCGCGGUAAUACAGAGGGUGCGAGCGUUAAUCGGAAUUACUGGGCGUAAAGGGUGCGUAGGUGGCUUAUUAAGUCAGAUGUGAAAUCCCCGGGCUUAACCUGGGAAUUGCAUAUGAUACUGGUAAGCUAGAGUGUGGAAGAGGGAAGUGGAAUUUCCGGUGUAGCGGUGAAAUGCGUAGAUAUCGGAAGGAACAUCAGUGGCGAAGGCGACUUCCUGGUCCAUUACUGACACUGAGGCACGAAAGCGUGGGGAGCAAACAGGAUUAGAUACCCGGGUAGUCC
This 449-nucleotide ribosomal RNA is filed under the name uncultured bacterium. Its description in RNAcentral is "bacterial SSU rRNA". It matches the Rfam family "Bacterial small subunit ribosomal RNA", at positions 355 to 796 of the family's 1533-position model. The record is from RNAcentral.